UACGUAGGGGGCAAGCGUUGUCCGGAAUCAUUGGGCGUAAAGCGCGUGUAGGCGGCCUUGUAAGUCCGCUCUGAAAGUCCGGGGCUCAACCCCGGGAGGCGGAUGGAUACUGCAAGGCUCGAGUACGGAAGAGGCGAGUGGAAUUCCCGGUGUAGCGGUGAAAUGCGCAGAUAUCGGGAGGAACACCAAUGGCGAAGGCAGCUCGCUGGGACGUUACUGACGCUGAGGCGCGAAAGCGUGGGGAGCAAACAGGGAU
This 256-nucleotide ribosomal RNA is filed under the name uncultured bacterium. RNAcentral describes it as "partial 16S ribosomal RNA". It matches the Rfam family "Bacterial small subunit ribosomal RNA", at positions 524 to 779 of the family's 1533-position model. The record is from RNAcentral.